RNAcentral lists this transfer RNA (62 nucleotides) under Dipodomys ordii (Ord's kangaroo rat). Lineage: Eukaryota; Metazoa; Chordata; Mammalia; Rodentia; Heteromyidae. The record is from Rfam by way of RNAcentral.
GGCACUGUGGCUCAAAGUGGUAGAGCAUUAGCCUUAAGCUGAAGAACUCAGGGACAGUGCCC